This 253-nucleotide ribosomal RNA is filed under the name uncultured bacterium. Its description in RNAcentral is "partial 16S ribosomal RNA". It matches the Rfam family "Bacterial small subunit ribosomal RNA", at positions 524 to 776 of the family's 1533-position model. The record is from RNAcentral.
UACGGAGGGGGCGAGCGUUGUCCGAAGUUACUGGGCGUAAAGCGCGCGUAGGCGGGGCGGAAAGUCCGCUGUGAAAGCCCGAGGCUUAACCUCGGCGGGUCGGUGGAUACUUCCGCUCUUGAAGGUGCUAGGGGGAGAUGGAAUUACCGGUGUAGCGGUGAAAUGCGUAGAUAUCGGUAGGAACACCAGUGGCGAAGGCGGUCUCCUGGGGCAUUCUUGACGCUGAGGCGCGAAAGCUGGGGGAGCGAACGGG